GAUGAACGCUGGCGGCGUGCCUAAUACAUGCAAGUCGAGCGAACAGACGAGGAGCUUGCUCCUCUGACGUUAGCGGCGGACGGGUGAGUAACACGUGGAUAACCUACCUAUAAGACUGGGAUAACUUCGGGAAACCGGAGCUAAUACCGGAUAAUAUAUUGAACCGCAUGGUUCAAUAGUGAAAGACGGUUUUGCUGUCACUUAUAGAUGGAUCCGCGCCGCAUUAGCUAGUUGGUAAGGUAACGGCUUACCAAGGCAACGAUGCGUAGCCGACCUGAGAGGGUGAUCGGCCACACUGGAACUGAGACACGGUCCAGACUCCUACGGGAGGCAGCAGUAGGGAAUCUUCCGCAAUGGGCGAAAGCCUGACGGAGCAACGCCGCGUGAGUGAUGAAGGUCUUCGGAUCGUAAAACUCUGUUAUUAGGGAAGAACAAAUGUGUAAGUAACUACGCGCGUCUUGACGGUACCUAAUCAGAAAGCCACGGCUAACUACGUG
RNAcentral lists this ribosomal RNA (497 nucleotides) under uncultured bacterium. RNAcentral describes it as "partial 16S ribosomal RNA". It matches the Rfam family "Bacterial small subunit ribosomal RNA", at positions 28 to 507 of the family's 1533-position model. The record is from RNAcentral.